AGCAGCCACGGUAAUUCCAGCUCCAAUAGCGUAUAUUAAAGUUGUUGCAGUUAAAAAGCUCGUAGUUGAAUUUCGAGACCGGUCCACUGGUCGUGCUUUUGUACGUACUGGUAUAAUCGGUUUCUCUCUUCUGACGAACUAUAAUGCCAUUAAUUUGGUGUUUUAGGGAAUCAGGACUGUUACUUUGAAAAAAUUGAGUGUUUAAAGCAGGCUCACGCUUGAAUACAUUAGCAUGGAAUAACGAAAUAGGACGUUUGAUUCUAUUUUGUUAGUUUCUAGGAUCGACGUAAUGAUUAAUAGGGAUAGUUGGGGGCAAUUAGUAUUC
This 325-nucleotide ribosomal RNA is filed under the name uncultured Glomeromycotina. RNAcentral's name for it is "SSU rRNA". It matches the Rfam family "Eukaryotic small subunit ribosomal RNA", at positions 569 to 899 of the family's 1831-position model. The record is from RNAcentral. Lineage: Eukaryota; Fungi; Glomeromycota.